CCCUUUGAAGAGAUUUAGGGUGGCGCCUGCCCAGUGAGAAUUUUAAAUGGCCGCGGUACUCUGACCGUGCUAAGGUAGCAUAAUCAAUUGGCCUUUAAUUGAGGUCUGGAAUGAAUGGAAAAACGGGGUUUAACUGUCUCACGAGUUUUAUAUCAAAUUUACUAAUAAGGUGCAAAGGCCUUAGAAAGAAAAAAGACGAGAAGACCCUUAGAGUUUUACGUAUUUUGUUGGGGCGACAAAGAGUCAUAUAAAACACUCUUUUUUUGAUAGGCCGGUUUUUUCAUGUGAAGAUAAACUACCUGAGGGAUAACAGCAUAAUCUAGAUUAGGUUUGUGACCUCGAUGUUGGACUAGGAAGUCUGUUAAUUAGAAGUUAACAAGAGAGAUUCUGUUCGAAUUUUUAUUCCUA
RNAcentral lists this ribosomal RNA (408 nucleotides) under Spiniphiline persei. RNAcentral describes it as "partial 16S ribosomal RNA". It matches the Rfam family "Archaeal large subunit ribosomal RNA", at positions 1921 to 2666 of the family's 2987-position model. Lineage: Eukaryota; Metazoa; Mollusca; Gastropoda; Cephalaspidea; Philinidae. The record is from RNAcentral.